UGAGUUGUUUCGAGAAAAGCGGAGACUGCCGCUCUGAGCGCUUUCGGGCGUGAAUUGAGGCGAGAACCGCGUUAAUCGAAACGGCUUGAACCGGGCAAAAGUCGUAACAAGGUUUCCGUAGGUGAACCUGCGGAAGGAUCAUUAU
This 145-nucleotide ribosomal RNA is filed under the name Steinernema arenarium. RNAcentral describes it as "partial 18S ribosomal RNA". It matches the Rfam family "Eukaryotic small subunit ribosomal RNA", at positions 1690 to 1831 of the family's 1831-position model. The record is from RNAcentral. Lineage: Eukaryota; Metazoa; Nematoda; Chromadorea; Rhabditida; Steinernematidae.